UUCCCCGACCAGGGAUCGAACCUGGGCCACGGCAGUGAAAGUGCCGAGUCCUAACCACUGGACCGCCAGGGA
This 72-nucleotide transfer RNA is filed under the name Eschrichtius robustus (grey whale). RNAcentral's name for it is "tRNA-Glu". The record is from RNAcentral. Lineage: Eukaryota; Metazoa; Chordata; Mammalia; Artiodactyla; Eschrichtiidae.